CUCAAAUGAAUUGACGGGGGCCCGCACAAGCGGUGGAGCAUGUGGUUUAAUUCGAUGCAACGCGAAGAACCUUACCUACUCUUGACAUCCAGAGAAGUUUGCAGAGAUGCGAACGUGCCUUCGGGAACUCUGAGACAGGUGCUGCAUGGCUGUCGUCAGCUCGUGUUGUGAAAUGUUGGGUUAAGUCCCGCAACGAGCGCAACCCUUAUCCUUUGUUGCCAGCGGUUCGGCCGGGAACUCAAAGGAGACUGCCAGUGAUAAACUGGAGGAAGGUGGGGAUGACGUCAAGUCAUCAUGGCCCUUACGAGUAGGGCUACACACGUGCUACAAUGGCAUAUACAAAGAGAAGCGACCUCGCGAGAGCAAGCGGACCUCAUAAAGUAUGUCGUAGUCCGGAUUGGAGUCUGCAACUCGACUCCAUGAAGUCGGAAUCGCUAGUAAUCGUGGAUCAGAAUGCCACGGUGAAUACGUUCCCGGGCCUUGUACACACCGCCCGUCACACCAUGGGAGUGGGUUGCAAAAGAAGUAGGUAGCUUAACCUUCGGGAGGGCGCUUACCACUUUGUGAUUCAUGACUGGGGUGAAGUCGUAACAAGGUAAC
This 600-nucleotide ribosomal RNA is filed under the name uncultured bacterium. Its description in RNAcentral is "bacterial SSU rRNA". It matches the Rfam family "Bacterial small subunit ribosomal RNA", at positions 900 to 1500 of the family's 1533-position model. The record is from RNAcentral.